CUCAGAGGUUAUAGCUCCACUCAGAGGUUAUAGCCCUAGUCAGAGGUUAUAGCCCCAGUCAGAGGUUAUAGCCUCAGUCAGAGGUUAUAGCUCCCCUCAGAGGUUAUAGCCCUAGUCAGAGGUUAUAGCUCCACUCAGAGGUUAUAGCUCCACUCAGAGGUUAUAGCUCCACUCAGAGGUUAUAGCCCUAGUCAGAGGUUAUAGCUCCACUCAGAGGUUAUAGCCCCAGUCAGAGGUUAUAGCUCCACUCAGAGGUUAUAGCCCUAGUCAGAGGUUAUAGCCCUAGUCAGAGGUUAUAGCUCCACUCAGAGGUUAUAGCCUCAGUCAGAGGUUAUAGCUCCACUCAGAGGUUAUAGCCCCAGUCAGAGGUUAUAGCCUCAUUCAGAGGUUAUAGCCCCAGUCAGACAUUAUAGCCCUAGUCAGAGGUUAUAGCCCCAGUCAGAGGUUAUAGCCUCAUUCAGAGGUUAUAGCCCCAGUCAGACAUUAUAGCCCUAGUCAGAGGUUAUAGCCCCACUCAGAGGUUAUAGCUCCACUCAGAGGUUAUAGCCCUAGUCAGAGGUUAUAGCCCCAGUCAGAGGUUAUAGCCCCAGUCAGAGGUUAUAGCUCCACUCAGAGGUUAUAGCUCCACUCAGAGGUUAUAGCCCUAGGCAGAGGUUAUAGCUCCACUCAGAGGUUAUAGCCCUAGUCAGAGGUUAUAGCCCUAGUCAGAGGUUAUAGCCCUAGUCAGAGGUUAUAGCCCUAGUCAGAGGUUAUAGCCCCAGUCAGAGGUUAUAGCCCCAGUCAGAGGUUAUAGCCCUAGUCAGAGGUUAUAGCUCCACUCAGAGGUUAUAGCCCCAGUCAGACAUUAUAGCCUUAGUCAGAGGUUAUAGCCCUAGAACAACUCACUGUGAUGCAAACGGGGCUUUAAAGUCUUCCCAGACCAAGCAGGCAGUAUAAGCAACAACUAGGAUCCACUAAUUUCACGGAUUAAAGACUGUCUGUGAGAAUGUUCACACAUCUCUGUCACUCUUGAUGACAGUGUUUCUCAUUUACAAGGAAGUGCUGGGUUCUUUUGACACGAAGGCUCUUGGAGGUAUGAAAUUCAAAUUAGAUUGUUGGCUAUUAAAUGUAUUCUGGUGGCCUUUCACUCUGCAGUCUGAGAAGAGUCAAAACUGGAAGAUAUAAAUCACUGUUUAUUACCUCACACAAGAUAACAUCGUUACGAGGCAACAAAUAAUUAAAAUUGCUUUCUUUAAAUGUUAAGCCUCAACACGCUGUCCUAGAUACUCUGGGAUUCUCAAUGUCAACCAAGAACAUCCAAGUAUUAAAAAGUUGAACAUCUGUUUACUUGAUGAAAGAGCCCUUCAAAUGAGGGAAGCCACCUUGAUUUAAAAGCCUGCAGUCUUUGGAUUUGUCUGAGGCCUGUUGUCCUUUUGUUUCACCCUCUUUGAAGUUCAUUUGAGAAACAAUUGACUUCAUACAUGAAAGGUCUGGGGAGCCCCCCCCCCCCCAGUUGCUAGAGGAAGGGGAGCUAUGUUUGAGGGAGACCCAGUCACUGUUGGUUCAGAGAGGCAUUAACCUUCCUCUUACCCUGGGAGAAGACAGUCGGCCAGCUCCAUAUAGCUCUCUUUUCUCCACAGUGGACGCUUAGCUCUGACAUGCUCAACCCCUCUGACUUGUUGUUCUCAACUCAAAUCCACCUGCCAGUAUUUGAACUGCACCAUUGUGGAUGAUUAAUGUGUUUAAAUUCAAUGUCACAAAGAUUUUGUACCAAAGUUGUCCAUGAUCUCCCAUAAUAAAACGAGCGAGACAGAGACUGAUGUAUUAUUAUUAUUAGAAGGUUUGAAAUGGAAGGGACCAGUACUGCCAGAAAACAACUUGUGUACGGCACACAUUUCUUUCCACAAAAUAUUUUAGAGCUGCUAACCUCAAGUGCUGUUUGGUUAUACAUUCAAAUCCUUUUUUAUUUAUGUAUAAAGUCAAACGUUUUAGUCCAACACUUUUUAAAGAAAACCUAUAGCUGGAUGUAAUUUCAGUCACAAGACAAUAACUGACAGAAAACACAGGAGUAAAUUACAGUGUGCUGCUGGCAUAGAAGGGAACGCUGAAAGCUUACAAAUGGCAGCAGAGGCGUGUGAAACAAGAAGAAAGUGGAAGAAAUGAAAGACUCUCUGAUGUUACCAACUUCAGAUGAGAAACAGAUGUUUCACAUGGAGGCAGGUCAUUUAGUCAUCAGAGGCCUCCGCAUAACACACGUCAUCAAUUAAUACCACACACUAGAUAAAACGUGUUACUCCUCACAGAAAUCAUUCAGUAAGACAACUCCACUGAUAAGCACUUCAUUUGGGCGGAAUGAGGAAAAAUGCUGUUUCUUUUAUAUUCCAGUUUUAGGACGAACGAAGCAGGAUUAUAGAUGUUCGUUUUAGACACUCAACAGGCUCACCUUUUCAUUCCACGAAAGAUCAGUGUCUAUCUGUGUUACGGGAACCGUGAUUCUCCAUCCAGCACCACAGUGACGUGGCCAAGCUGGAAACAUAAACUGGGACUGUAAUCCUGAAUGGCACCCUAUUACCUACAGAGUGCCCCAAGGGCCAUAGAUAAAUGUAGCACACUAAAUAGGGAAUAGGGUGGCAUUUGGGAUACAGGUAUUACAUUAUUCAGAUCUUUAUAGUACUCCUAAUGACGUAUGACAUACUGUGUACAGUAUGUAUAGUAUACUGUAGUACGGCACACCCGAUGGAAACCAACUGCCUAAUCCUCCCCUUUAAAAGAGCUCAUCACCACCUCUGCAUAGGUCUGAUGGAAACCAACUGCCUAAUCCUCCCCUUUAAAGUAGCUCAUCACCAUCUCUGCAUAGGUCUGAUGGAAACCAACUGCCUAAUCCUCCCCUUUAAAGUAGCUCAUCACCAUCUCUGCAUAGGUCUGACGGAAACCAACUGCCUAAUCCUCCCCUUUAAAGUAGCUCAUCACCACCUCUGCAUAGGUCUGACGGAAACCAACUGCCUAAUCCUCCCCUUUAAAGUAGCUCAUCACCAUCUCUGCAUAGGUCUGAUGGAAACCAACUGCCUAAUCCUCCCCUUUAAAGUAGCUCAUCACCACCUCUGCAUAGGUCUGAUGGAAACCAACUGCCUAAUCCUCCCCUUUAAAGUAGCUCAUCACCACCUCUGCAUAGGUCUGAUGGAAACCAACUGCCUAAUCCUCCCCUUUAAAGUAGCUCAUCACCACCUUUGCAUAGUGAUACAUGCAUAAUACAUCUGUACUUGGUGAGGACUGUAUGUAACUCUAGUAACUCUGGAUGGGCAUUAGAUAACACAUUUAUCAAGGAGCUGGAGGUUAUCACUUCUGUCUGUGUUUAUAGUGAUGAGGACUCCUAAACGCUGGAGCUGUGCCCAUUUAAUUAAAAACAACCUACUGUUGUUUCAUUCCAUCCAAUAUCUUCUCUCUCUCCCUUCCUUUGCCAAGAUGCUCGUCAUCAUUUUUUGCUGCAUUUUUAUUGAAUCAUCACUUUAGUUGCCCGGAAAACCAACCGCCUGUCUUUUAGUUGCCCGGAAACCAACCACCUGUCUUUUUUCUUCUUCUUUACAGCUGGCCCUGGAAAGUGGCCUAUAAGAAAUGUAUGACACGACUCCUUUGAUUUGGAGGUCUAAUCAGAGAUUUGUACCGUUAUUCUCUGAUAUGAGAUUGUAUCGUAGCCAUAUGAAACUAGUCCCAUUUGCAUCGAGGGAAAAAAAAGCUUUCCUUUUGAGCGUUCAUUUAUCUAAUAUAUCUUUUUCAUUUCAACUGCCAAGGUUUAAUCUUUGAAUUCAUUGUAGGAACCAUGAGCUCAUUUUUGCCAAGUGUAAGGCAGGAUUUAAACUGAUAACAUGUCCUGACAGUAGGCUACAGUAUUGCUGCAAAUAGUACAAAUUGGAUAUGACAAAUGUUUCCUGAUUAUUUGUGCUUCAUUCGUCAGUUAAUUUAACCAUUAGAUUUUCAGCUAAGUCAUU
Long non-coding RNA from Oncorhynchus keta (chum salmon), 3965 nucleotides. RefSeq lists it as uncharacterized. NCBI's taxonomy places the organism in Eukaryota, Metazoa, Chordata, Actinopteri, Salmoniformes, Salmonidae. The transcript is spliced from 3 exons. The record is from RefSeq and is a predicted model, not a curated record.